UACGGAGGGUGCAAGCGUUAAUCGGAAUAACUGGGCGUAAAGCGCACGCAGGCGGUUGGAUAAGCGAGAUGUGAAAGCCCCGGGCUCAACCUGGGAACUGCAUCCGAAACUGACAGGCUAGAGUCUUGUAGAGGGGGGUAGAAUUCCAGGUGUAGCGGUGAAAUGCGUAGAGAUUAGGAAGAACACCAGUGGCGAAGGCGGCCCCCUGGACAAAGACUGACGCUCAGGUGCGAAAGCGUGGGUAUCAAAC
This 250-nucleotide ribosomal RNA is filed under the name uncultured bacterium. RNAcentral describes it as "partial 16S ribosomal RNA". It matches the Rfam family "Bacterial small subunit ribosomal RNA", at positions 524 to 773 of the family's 1533-position model. The record is from RNAcentral.